GACGAACGCUGGCGGCGUGCCUAAUACAUGCAAGUAGAACGCAGUUGCGCACGGGUGAGUAACGCGUGGGUAACUGCCGCAUAGCGGGGGAUAACUAUUGGAAACGAUAGCUUAUACCGCAUACUGUGAGAUGGACCUGCUUUGUAUUAGCUAGUUGGUGAGGUAAAGGCUCACGAGGGCGACGAUCCAUAGCCGACCUGAGAGGGUGAUCGGCCAGACUGGGAAUGAGAAACGGCCCAGACUCCUAAGGGAGGCAGCAGUAGGGAAUCUUCGGCAAGGGACGGAAGUCUGACCGCGCAACGCCGCGGGAGGGAAGAAGGGUUUCGGAGCGUAAAGCAAGGUUGUUAGAGAAGCGGUAACUAAACAGAAAGGGACGGCUAACUACGUGCCAGCAGCCGCGGUAAUUC
RNAcentral lists this ribosomal RNA (407 nucleotides) under uncultured bacterium. RNAcentral describes it as "partial 16S ribosomal RNA". It matches the Rfam family "Bacterial small subunit ribosomal RNA", at positions 28 to 526 of the family's 1533-position model. The record is from RNAcentral.